AAAUGGAACAGGUAUUGCACUAUUAAUUUAUUUUACAAUCUAUGAGUUAAGAGUAUUUACAUAAGGCUUAGUUUUUAUUAGUGUAAAAAAAAAAAGCUUUAAUGCUUUUAUAUAUUUUAUACUCUGCAUUUCUAAGGCUGGUAUACGUUCUCUGGGCAGCAGAAUAAUUUGGUUAUUCUGAAAACAGUGCACUUACUUUUCCUGUCCCAACCAGUACUGGCCUCUUCGCUCUCACCACAGCUACACAAGCCCAUACUUUUGCAGAGAAGAGAAAACUCUUACGGCCCUCCCUUUUCAAAGUCACAGAAAGCUGAUCGUAAACACACUGGAGAAAGUGUAAAGAAAAUUGUGUCUCAAAAAAGGGACUAGUAUGGGGGCCCCACAGCAAUACCAGAACAAUGACUGUCUUUACUCAAACUGAAGCAACCUUGAAUUUUCUUAAAAUCAAGUCCAAUAAGGCCAAUAUCCAAGUUCUGAGAUUGCCCAGAGGAAAAGGUUUGUCAGACUAUAAUCUUUAUGGAAAAGUUGUUCCUUGACCUUUUUUGCCACUGUAUGUCUACUGCAGCACAGGGAGGUCAAAAGUGCACUAGUUGUUAGCACCAAAGAUGAAGCUUAACCAGACACUGAAAGCAAUGAUUGUCAAACGGCUCCAUUUGCAAGACAAGAAGUGUGUCCUUAGCAAAGCAAGGGAGAUGAAAGAGAUUAUUUUCUAGAGGUCACAUUUGUUCUUCUUUUCUGACCUCUCUCAAGAUUGCAAAAGAAACGGUAAGUUUUCUAUAGGAAAGAGAUGCUACAAAGAAAAAGGGACUGUGCUUUCCUCCUCUUUCUCUGCUAGUCUUCCAGCCACGGUUAAAGUCUGUUCUGCCUUUCUUUCUCUUUCGUAAAAGCCUACUGAGAGCAUAAUAAUUGAAUAAAGAAAUUAAACAGACAGUUUCAAGUUCCUGUAAUUCUACAUUUUAUAGCCCUUCCCAGAACCUAGAAAUGAGUUUGGGUGAUUGUUUGGAGCUCUUGUUUCUUGUCCUCCUUCCCCCUGUUUCUGUCAUUAGUAUCCUGUGGCGGCAGCACCUAGAGCCCUAGCCAUGGGUCUGUGAGGUACUGGAAAUAAAUGAACUGUUUCUGUUUCGCAUUUCCAGCAUCCCUCUGUUUUUUACUGGCUAUAGCUAU
RNAcentral lists this long non-coding RNA (1164 nucleotides) under Strigops habroptila (Kakapo). Its description in RNAcentral is "lncRNA (ENSSHBG00005003679.1)". Lineage: Eukaryota; Metazoa; Chordata; Aves; Psittaciformes; Psittacidae. The record is from RNAcentral.